AAGUCGUAACAAGGUUUCCGUAGGUGAACCUGCGGAAGGAUCAUUAGCGAAGCUCGGAACGUCGUAUUCGAUACUGAAGCUGCCCGGCAACGGGAUGUGCUCGUGUCGGUGCGAUGUCCCCUUCACUAUCCACCCCACUGUGAACCAAAGUGUGCGAGUCCGAAAGGGAAACCGGACGGCUUGCAUGCGAACCUUUAACAUACCCCAAUGAAGUAUCAGAAUGUAACUUGCGUUAACUCGCACAAAUAUAACUUUCAACAACGGAUCUCUUGGCUCUC
This 278-nucleotide unclassified non-coding RNA is filed under the name air metagenome. RNAcentral's name for it is "partial contains small subunit ribosomal RNA, internal transcribed spacer 1, and 5.8S ribosomal RNA". The stretch from base 1 to 46 matches the Rfam family "Eukaryotic small subunit ribosomal RNA", at positions 1786 to 1831 of the family's 1831-position model. The record is from RNAcentral.